RNAcentral lists this ribosomal RNA (496 nucleotides) under uncultured bacterium. Its description in RNAcentral is "partial 16S ribosomal RNA". It matches the Rfam family "Bacterial small subunit ribosomal RNA", at positions 29 to 507 of the family's 1533-position model. The record is from RNAcentral.
AUGAACGCUGGCGGCGUGCCUCAUCCAUGCCAGUCGCGCGAACAGACGAGGAGCUUGCUCCUUCGACGUUAGCGGCGGACGGGUGAGUAACACGUAGGUAACCUACCUAUAAGACUGGGAUAACUUCGGGAAACCGGAGCUAAUACCGGAUAAUAUUUCGAACCGCAUGGUUCGAUAGUGAAAGAUGGCUUUGCUAUCACUUAUAGAUGGACCUGCGCCGUAUUAGCUAGUUGGUAAGGUAACGGCUUACCAAGGCAACGAUACGUAGCCGACCUGAGAGGGUGAUCGGCCACACUGGAACUGAGACACGGUCCAGACUCCUACGGGAGGCAGCAGUAGGGAAUCUUCCGCAAUGGGCGAAAGCCUGACGGAGCAACGCCGCGUGAGUGAUGAAGGUCUUCGGAUCGUAAAACUCUGUUAUUAGGGAAGAACAAACGUGUAAGUAACUGUGCACGUCUUGACGGUACCUAAUCAGAAAGCCACGGCUAACUACGUG